UACGUAGGGUGCGAGCGUUAGUCGGAAUUACUGGGCGUAAAGCGUGCGCAGGCGGUCUGUUAAGACCGAUGUGAAAUCCCCGGGCUUAACCUGGGAACUGCAUUGGUGACUGGCAGGCUUUGAGUGUGGCAGAGGGAGGUAGAAUUCCACGUGUAGCAGUGAAAUGCGUAGAGAUGUGGAGGAAUACCGAUGGCGAAGGCAGCCUCCUGGGCCAACACUGACGCUCAUGCACGAAAACGUGGGAGCAAACAGG
RNAcentral lists this ribosomal RNA (253 nucleotides) under uncultured bacterium. RNAcentral describes it as "partial 16S ribosomal RNA". It matches the Rfam family "Bacterial small subunit ribosomal RNA", at positions 524 to 776 of the family's 1533-position model. The record is from RNAcentral.